This is a long non-coding RNA of Beta vulgaris subsp. vulgaris (sugar beet), 858 nucleotides long. RefSeq lists it as uncharacterized. NCBI's taxonomy places the organism in Eukaryota, Viridiplantae, Streptophyta, Magnoliopsida, Caryophyllales, Amaranthaceae. The transcript is spliced from 3 exons. The record is from RefSeq and is a predicted model, not a curated record.
UUACAAAUGGUUGUAGCUUUUGAUUGAGAGAGGUUGUAGCUUGAAAAUGUUGUAGUUUGGAAAUUUUAUGUGGCACACAAAACUAUAAGUGAUUGUAGCUUACCAUUGUAGAUGCUCUAAUACCGCCAGCAAAAUAUCUUCGCUCUCCGAACUCUCUCUUCCCCUCUCCUCGAUCUUCUGCUUUAACCUUUGAAUCUUCAUUAUUCAGAUCUUCUUUCUCUCCUUACAGCCCAAAAAACUUACUUAUUUCUACUUCUGUUGUUACACGUUGCCUAUUAUGAAAAUUCGCAUCAUCAAGAUCAUCUCCAAAUUUUAGAGUUGCCACACUCUCUCUCUUUCUCGCUUUUGGUGUUUGAAUAGUCUGUUGUUCAACAAUGAGAAUUAAGAGAAGUUGCUGAAGAUGGAACUUUAAAAUUUAUUUAGGAAUCUUCUUGUAAUAUAAGCAAAUGGGUACUGCUCAAUUGUAAAAAAGAACCAUUCUUUUGGUGAAUCUUUUGCCGCUGCUCCGUUUUUGUGCACUUUUAUGAUGUCAAUUUCGAGCACGAAAGAAAACGGGGUGGAUGGGCACGCGCAACAGGUUGGGGGCACAGCAGAAGGCGCAUCUCCAAUGGGGCGGCGGAGCCGGUGGAUGGACUGAACCUAAUCUUUCUCUCUCUCCUGUUGUUGUUGCUGCUAUGCUUGCUUUGACAUGUAUAGGUCCGUCGAUGGUGGAAUGAAUUUACCUUAUAAUGAGUUGAAUUUUCUGUAAAACGAAGCACAAAAGUAUUUUCUUUAGCGAAUUUUGGUGUUUAUAUUUUCCUCGGACGAGAUCUUUCUUCGGUUAAAUUGUGUUUUUUUAGGGGCGUUUGGUUCAUAUAA